GACGAACGCUGGCGGCGUGCUUAACACAUGCAAGUCGAACGGAAAGGCCCUGCUUUUGUGGGGUGCUCGAGUGGCGAACGGGUGAGUAACACGUGAGUAACCUGCCCUUGACUUUGGGAUAACUUCAGGAAACUGGGGCUAAUACCGGAUAGGAGCUCCUGCUGCAUGGUGGGGGUUGGAAAGUUUCGGCGGUUGGGGAUGGACUCGCGGCUUAUCAGCUUGUUGGUGGGGUAGUGGCUUACCAAGGCUUUGACGGGUAGCCAGCCUGAGAGGGUGACCGGCCACAUUAGGACUGAGAUACGGCCCAGACUCCUACGGGAGGCAGCAGUGGGGAAUAUUGCACAAUGGGCGGAAGCCUGAUGCAGCAACGCCGCGUGCGGGAUGACGGCCUUCGGGUUGUAAACCGCUUUCGCCUGUGACGAAGCGUGAGUGACGGUAAUGGGUAAAGAAGCACCGGCUAACUACGUG
RNAcentral lists this ribosomal RNA (468 nucleotides) under uncultured bacterium. Its description in RNAcentral is "partial 16S ribosomal RNA". It matches the Rfam family "Bacterial small subunit ribosomal RNA", at positions 28 to 507 of the family's 1533-position model. The record is from RNAcentral.